This 497-nucleotide ribosomal RNA is filed under the name uncultured bacterium. RNAcentral's name for it is "partial 16S ribosomal RNA". It matches the Rfam family "Bacterial small subunit ribosomal RNA", at positions 28 to 507 of the family's 1533-position model. The record is from RNAcentral.
GAUGAACGCUGGCGGCGUGCCUAAUACAUGCAAGUCGAGCGAACGGACGAGAAGCUUGCUUUUCUGAUGUUAGCGGCGGACGGGGGAGUAACACGUGGAUAACCUACCUAUAAGACUGGGAUAACUUCGGGAAACCGGAGCUAAUACCGGAUAAUAUUUUGAACCGCAUGGUUCAAAAGUGAAAGACGGUCUUGCUGUCACUUAUAGAUGGAUCCGCGCUGCAUUAGCUAGUUGGUAAGGUAACGGCUUACCAAGGCAACGAUGCAUAGCCGACCUGAGAGGGUGUUCAGCCACACUGGAACUGAGACACGGUCCAGACUCCUACGGGAGGCAGCAGUAGGGAAUCUUCCGCAAUGGGCGAAAGCCUGACGGAGCAACGCCGCGUGAGUGAUGAAGGUCUUCGGAUCGUAAAACUCUGUUAUUAGAGAAGAACAUAUGUGUAAGUAACUGUGCACAUCUUGACGGUACCUAAUCAGAAAGCCACGGCUAACUACGUG